UCCUACCGAUUGGGUGUGCUGGUGAAAUGUUCGGAUUGGUAGCCUUUCCGUAAGGGAGACAACUGAGAAGUUCAUUGAACCCUCUCAUCUAGAGGAAGGAGAAGUCGUAACAAGGUCUCCGUAGGUGAACCUGCGGAGGGAUCCAUAGCAAUCAUACAGAUUGGCGAUCAUUCUUGGGAAUGGUAUGGGGCAUUGCCCUAUAUACGCCAUCUCAACCAUGGCCAAGGCUAUGCAUCACCGAUGCUUAGACCCAGGCCUUGUUGCUUAUGUGCCCCUGCACUAUGUGGACUCUACCACCAUAGAAAGCCACGCAGGUGGUACGGGUCGGCAGAUGGCUUCUCUAAGCCUUGCCGGCCGGGCUCCGCGCUAUCCUUUUUGGAUAGCACGUAGGGCUUAAACCCCCUACGAGGAGUCCGCGCCCAUCCUAAAUCCUACCAAACUUUAUCUUGGCGGGCCAGUACCCCAAGUAUAAUUCUAAUAACACUGUACAAUGGAUUUCUUGGCUCCCACGUCGAUGAAGAACGCAGCAAAGCGCGAUAGGUAGUGUGAAUUGCAGAAUUCCGUGAAUCAUCGAAUCUUUGAACGCAUAUUGCGCCCAAUCUUCCGGGAUUGGGCAUGUCUGCCUCAGCGUCGUUAUUAAUGGUACACACCGUAAAUGACUCUUGCUUGAUGGCAUGAGUUGAAGCUAUGAAUUUUGCGUGCAGUGCACGACAGAUCAACAGUAUUCUACCUUCGCUGUUCAUCGUAGGCAAGCUAGCUAGUCAAGCACAUGCUUUUCAUGGACACACGAAGGGUUGUGGAAUAGCUGUUAACCAUUUCGACCUGAGUUCAGGCAGGGCUACCCGCUGAACUUAAGCAUAUCAAUAAGCGGAGGAAAAGAAACCAACAGGGAUUCUCUUAGUAACGGCGAGCGAAAAAGGGAA
Molecule: ribosomal RNA, 923 nt
Filed under: Rhizoclonium pachydermum
Lineage: Eukaryota; Viridiplantae; Chlorophyta; Ulvophyceae; Cladophorales; Cladophoraceae
Description: eukaryotic LSU rRNA
Rfam family: 5.8S ribosomal RNA (bases 480-633)
Source: RNAcentral